This 76-nucleotide transfer RNA is filed under the name Bifidobacteriaceae bacterium. RNAcentral describes it as "tRNA-Arg". It matches the Rfam family "tRNA". Rfam says of the family: Transfer RNA (tRNA) molecules are approximately 80 nucleotides in length. Their secondary structure includes four short double-helical elements and three loops (D, anti-codon, and T loops). Further hydrogen bonds mediate the characteristic L-shaped molecular structure. tRNAs have two regions of fundamental functional importance: the anti-codon, which is responsible for specific mRNA codon recognition, and the 3' end, to which the tRNAs corresponding amino acid is attached (by aminoacyl-tRNA synthetases). tRNAs cope with the degeneracy of the genetic code in two manners: having more than one tRNA (with a specific anti-codon) for a particular amino acid; and 'wobble' base-pairing, i.e. permitting non-standard base-pairing at the 3rd anti-codon position. Lineage: Bacteria; Bacillati; Actinomycetota; Actinomycetes; Bifidobacteriales; Bifidobacteriaceae. The record is from RNAcentral.
GCCUCCGUAGCUCAGUGGAUAGAGCGUCUGCCUUCUAAGCAGCGGGUCGCAGGUUCGAAUCCUGCCGGGGGCGCCA